UACGAAGUGUGCAAGCGUUACUCGGAAUUACUGGGCGUAAAGCGUGCGUAGAUGGUUCAUUAAGUCGGAUGUGAAAGCCCCGGGCUCAACCUGGGAACUGCAUCCGAUACUGGUGGACUAGAGUGCGGUAGAGGAUGGCGGAAUUCCCGGUGUAGCGGUGAAAUGCGUAGAGAUCGGGAGGAACAUCCGUGGCGAAGGCGGCCAUCUGGACCAGCACUGACGUUGAGGCACGAAAGCGUGGGGAGCAAACAGG
RNAcentral lists this ribosomal RNA (253 nucleotides) under uncultured bacterium. RNAcentral describes it as "partial 16S ribosomal RNA". It matches the Rfam family "Bacterial small subunit ribosomal RNA", at positions 524 to 776 of the family's 1533-position model. The record is from RNAcentral.